GACGAACGCUGGCGGCGUGCUUAACACAUGCAAGUCGAACGGAAAGGCCCUGCUUUUGUGGGGUGCUCGAGUGGCGAACGGGUGGGUAACACGUGAGUAACCUGCCCUUGACUUUGGGAUAACUUCAGGAAACUGGGGCUAAUACCGGAUAGGAGCUCCUGCUGCACGGUGGGGGUUGGAAAGUUUCGGCGGUUGGGGAUGGACUCGCGGCUUAUCAGCUUGUUGGUGGGGUAGUGGCUUACCAAGGCUUUGACGGGUAGCCGGCCUGAGAGGGUGACCGGCCACAUUGGGACUGAGAUACGGCCCAGACGCCUACGGGAGGCGGCAGUGGGGAAUAUUGCACGAUGGGCGGAAGCCUGAUGCAGCAACGCCGCGUGCGGGAUGACGGCCUUCGGGUUGUAAACCGCUUUCGCCUGUGACGAAGCGUGAGUGACGGUAAUGGGUAAAGAAGCACCGGCUAACUACGUG
Molecule: ribosomal RNA, 468 nt
Filed under: uncultured bacterium
Lineage: Bacteria
Description: partial 16S ribosomal RNA
Rfam family: Bacterial small subunit ribosomal RNA
Source: RNAcentral